GGCUUGGUUGGGCAGUCCACCUCACAGUGUGUACUGUCUGACUGAGUCUUACCUCUUGGUGAGCCAGUGUGCACUUUAUUGUGUGCAUCGGGGAACCAGGACUUUUACCUUGAGAAAAUUAGAGUGUUCAAAGCAGGCCUAUGCCUGAAUACAUUAGCAUGGAAUAAUAAAAUAGGACGUGCGGUUCUAUUUUGUUGGUUUCUAGAGUCGCCGUA
This 215-nucleotide ribosomal RNA is filed under the name uncultured fungus. Its description in RNAcentral is "partial small subunit ribosomal RNA". The stretch from base 47 to 215 matches the Rfam family "Eukaryotic small subunit ribosomal RNA", at positions 694 to 864 of the family's 1831-position model. Lineage: Eukaryota; Fungi. The record is from RNAcentral.